Non-coding RNA from Bos taurus (domestic cattle), 73 nucleotides. The record is from Rfam. NCBI's taxonomy places the organism in Eukaryota, Metazoa, Chordata, Mammalia, Artiodactyla, Bovidae.
UCCCUGGCGGUCUAGUGGUUAAGACUCUGCACUUCUACUGCAGGGACCAUAGGUUCAAUCCCUGGUCAGGGAA